GGAUGGUUGGUUCAUACUGAUGGUUGGUUCAUACGGAUGGUUGGUUCAUAUGGAUGGUUGGUUCAUACUGAUGGUUGGUUAAUACAGAUGGUUGGUUCAUACUGAUGGUUUGUUCAUACUGAUGGGUGGUACAUACGGAUGGGUGGUACAUACGGAUGGUUGGUUCAUACGGAUGGUUCAUACUGAUGGUUGGUUCAUACUGAUGGUUGGUUCAUACUGAUGGUUGGUUCAUACGGAUGGUUGGUUCAUACGGAUGGAUGGUUCAUACGGAUGGUUGGUUCAUACGGAUGGUUGGUUCAUACGGAUGGUUGGUUCAUACGGAUGGUUGGUUCAUACUGAU
Molecule: long non-coding RNA, 340 nt
Organism: Oncorhynchus tshawytscha (Chinook salmon)
Lineage: Eukaryota; Metazoa; Chordata; Actinopteri; Salmoniformes; Salmonidae
Source: Ensembl